UUGUAAUGUGAGCAGCCUGGGUGCGUCAGUGCAGGUAAGUGACAUGAAAAUGUUCGCCGUGGAGGGUGAGAGCCCCGUCCAGCCUGCACAGGGCGUGCCGUACAGGGCUGUCUCGAAUGAGUCGGGUAGCUUGGGAAUGCUGCUCUAAGAUCGGUGGUAAAUUUCAUCGAAGGCUAAAUACUGCUGGAAGACCGAUAGUGAACAAGUACCGUGAGGGAAAGAUGAAAAGCACUUUGAAAAGAGGGUGAAAAGAAUCUGAAACCGUUGUGAGGGAAGCGGAUUGCGUUGCAGUAACUGUGGGCGCCGGUGUGUUCAGCCUGUUUCGGUGGGUGUAGUGGCACCGGUGGCUCCGUCUGCUGUGGGUUUGUGGUGGCUGAUUGCAAGGCUGCUGCGGACUGAGGGCUCCGUGCUGCUUUGCGGCGGCACGUGAGGACGGCAGGGUGACGACGCGAUACGACCCGUCUUGAAACACGGACCAAGGAGUCUAGCACAGCUGCGAGUCUGAGGGUGUCAAAGCCUGUGGGCGAAGUGAAAGCGAAAGAUGGCGGUAAUUCCAUAAUUUCAGAAUGACAAAGUUGUUGCAAUUUGGGG
This 591-nucleotide ribosomal RNA is filed under the name Asparagopsis taxiformis. Its description in RNAcentral is "eukaryotic LSU rRNA". It matches the Rfam family "Eukaryotic large subunit ribosomal RNA", at positions 147 to 776 of the family's 3401-position model. The record is from RNAcentral. Lineage: Eukaryota; Rhodophyta; Florideophyceae; Bonnemaisoniales; Bonnemaisoniaceae.